This 429-nucleotide unclassified non-coding RNA is filed under the name Hevea brasiliensis (rubber tree). Lineage: Eukaryota; Viridiplantae; Streptophyta; Magnoliopsida; Malpighiales; Euphorbiaceae. The record is from RNAcentral.
GCUUGCAAUGCAGUUAUCUCACUUAAGUACUGAGAUACAUAUUACGCUGGAGUCCACCAUUUUCUGGGAAAUUUUGUUGUUGAUUAGGAUGAUCAGAACACUUUAGCAUGUGCCACUUGGACCAUCAUGAGGAAGAAAAAUUGAUUAUGAAAAGUUGUCUAGAAAUGAAUGGCUAUGAUUGCAUUAUUAUGACUGAGUUUACUGCAGGAGUUCCCUUGAGAUGUCUGGCCUCUCUGAGUCUAGGUUAUUGUUACUUGAAUGACAGAUGCAAACGCAUAAGAACAUCCCUUGGAAUAAAGUGAAUAAGGAACUUGUUAUCCUCCUGGAAACAUUAUUUCUGGAUAGGAACUUCUGCUCAGUCUUUGCUCUUUUAAUUUCUUAUAAAAGCUUCAUGUUGUUCAACCAGGAAAUGCAUCUUCUAUUGAAGAA